Bacteroidetes bacterium 43-16 is the source of this 35-nucleotide non-coding RNA. The record is from Rfam. Lineage: Bacteria; Pseudomonadati; Bacteroidota.
ACAGGGAAAGCCGAAAACCUGUAAUAUAGUAGGCA